AUGAUCAUCUUAGCCUGGAACUGCCGAGGAUUGGGGUUGGACUCGGCAGUGGGCGAGCUCCGGGACCUGAUUAGGUCAUACAACCCAGGGGUGGUGUUCUUAUCAUAAACGAAGAUGAGAGCGGGAGCGAUGGAGACGUUAAAAUGUAGAUUGGGUUUCAACAACGGAGUAGCGGUGGAGUGCAAAGCAAAAAGUGGAGGUCUCGCGCUAUGGUGGAGGGAUCAUGUACAAGUUACGGUUCGGCCGUGGUGCCAGUACUACAUCGACACACAAAUUGUGGAUGGCGGUGCCCCUUUCAGAUUCACUGGAAUCUAUGGGGAGCCUUGUAUUGAAAAAAGAACAAAACCAUGGGAGGUUCUCCGCUACCUUAGGAAGCAAGACAAUCUACCAUGGCUUUGCGCCGGCGACUUUAAUGAGGCACUAUGA
RNAcentral lists this ribosomal RNA (426 nucleotides) under Triticum aestivum (bread wheat). RNAcentral describes it as "partial small subunit ribosomal RNA". Lineage: Eukaryota; Viridiplantae; Streptophyta; Magnoliopsida; Poales; Poaceae. The record is from RNAcentral.